RNAcentral lists this ribosomal RNA (2554 nucleotides) under Stenotrophomonas maltophilia. Its description in RNAcentral is "partial 23S ribosomal RNA". It matches the Rfam family "Bacterial large subunit ribosomal RNA", at positions 381 to 2925 of the family's 2925-position model. The record is from RNAcentral. Lineage: Bacteria; Pseudomonadati; Pseudomonadota; Gammaproteobacteria; Lysobacterales; Lysobacteraceae.
GUAUCUGAAAGGGCCAUUUCAGUGAAGACGAGUAGGGCGGGGCACGUGAAACCCUGUCUGAACAUGGGGGGACCAUCCUCCAAGGCUAAAUACUACUGACCGACCGAUAGUGAACCAGUACCGUGAGGGAAAGGCGAAAAGAACCCCGGAGAGGGGAGUGAAAUAGAACCUGAAACCGUGUGCGUACAAGCAGUAGGAGCUCCGCAAGGAGUGACUGCGUACCUUUUGUAUAAUGGGUCAGCGACUUACUGUUCGUGGCAAGCUUAACCGUAUAGGGGAGGCGAAGGGAAACCGAGUCUGAUAAGGGCGCAUAGUCGCGGGCAGUAGACCCGAAACCGGGUGAUCUAGUCAUGCCCAGGGUGAAGGUGCGGUAACACGCACUGGAGGCCCGAACCCACUCCCGUUGCAAAGGUAGGGGAUGAGGUGUGAUUAGGAGUGAAAAGCUAAUCGAACCCGGAGAUAGCUGGUUCUCCUCGAAAGCUAUUUAGGUAGCGCCUCAUAUGUAUCCUCUCGGGGGUAGAGCACUGUUAUGGCUAGGGGGUCAUCGCGACUUACCAAACCAUUGCAAACUCCGAAUACCGAGACGGACUGUAUGGGAGACACACGGCGGGUGCUAACGUCCGUCGUGAAAAGGGAAACAACCCAGACCCACAGCUAAGGUCCCAAAUUCACUGCUAAGUGGAAAACCAUGUGGAAAGGCACAGACAGCCAGGAGGUUGGCUUAGAAGCAGCCACCCUUUAAAGAAAGCGUAAUAGCUCACUGGUCGAGUCGGUCUGCGGGGAAGAUUUAACGGGGCUAAGCAGUGAACCGAAGCUUGGGGUGCAUAACUUUGUUAUGCGCGGUAGAGGAGCGUUCCGUAAGCCGUUGAAGGUGGAUUGAGAAGUCUGCUGGAGGUAUCGGAAGUGCGAAUGCUGACAUGAGUAACGAUAAUGCGGGUGAAAAACCCGCACGCCGAAAGCCCAAGGUUUCCUUGCGCAACGUUAAUCGGCGCAGGGUGAGUCGGCCCCUAAGGCGAGGACGAAAGUCGUAGUCGAUGGGAAGCAGGUUAAUAUUCCUGCACCUCGCGUAAGUGCGAUGGAGGGACGGAGAAGGUUAGGUGUACCAGGCGUUGGUUGUCCUGGGGAAAGGCGGUAGGUUUGGAUCUUUGGCAAAUCCGGGAUCCUUUAAGACCGAGCACCGAGACGAGCCUUUAUGGCGAAGUCACUGAUACCACGCUUCCAGGAAAAGCUCCUAAGCUUCAGCUUACGCAGACCGUACCGUAAACCGACACAGGUGGGUAGGAUGAGAAUUCUCAGGCGCUUGAGAGAACUCGGGUGAAGGAACUAGGCAACAUGGCACCGUAACUUCGGGAGAAGGUGCACCCUUUUUGGUGGCUCGUGCGAGCUAUAGCUGAAGAGGGUCGCAGUAACCAGGCCGCUGCGACUGUUUAUCAAAAACACAGCACUCUGCAAACACGAAAGUGGACGUAUAGGGUGUGACGCCUGCCCGGUGCUGGAAGGUUAAUUGAUGGGGUCAGCCGCAAGGCGAAGCUCUUGAUCGAAGCCCCAGUAAACGGCGGCCGUAACUAUAACGGUCCUAAGGUAGCGAAAUUCCUUGUCGGGUAAGUUCCGACCUGCACGAAUGGCGUAACGACAGCGGCGCUGUCUCCACCCGAGACUCAGUGAAAUUGAAAUCGCUGUGAAGAUGCAGCGUUCCCGUGGCAAGACGGAAAGACCCCGUGAACCUUUACUAUAGCUUUACACUGAACGUUGAGUUCGUCUGUGUAGGAUAGGUGGGAGGCUAUGAAACUGUGGCGCUAGCUGCAGUGGAGCCAUCCUUGAAAUACCACCCUGUCGUGCUUGACGUUCUAACCUGGGCCCAUUAUCUGGGUCGGGGACCGUGUAUGGUGGGUAGUUUGACUGGGGCGGUCUCCUCCUAAAGAGUAACGGAGGAGCUCGAAGGUACGCUCAGCGCGGUCGGACAUCGCGCACUGUGUGCAAAGGCAUAAGCGUGCUUGACUGCAAGAUCGACGGAUCAAGCAGGUAGGAAACUAGGACUUAGUGAUCCGGUGGUUCUGUAUGGAAGGGCCAUCGCUCAACGGAUAAAAGGUACUCCGGGGAUAACAGGCUGAUACCGCCCAAGAGUUCAUAUCGACGGCGGUGUUUGGCACCUCGAUGUCGGCUCAUCACAUCCUGGGGCUGUAGUCGGUCCCAAGGGUAUGGCUGUUCGCCAUUUAAAGUGGUACGCGAGCUGGGUUCAGAACGUCGUGAGACAGUUCGGUCCCUAUCUGCCAUGGGCGUUGGAGAUUUGAGAGGGGCUGCUCCUAGUACGAGAGGACCGGAGUGGACGAACCUCUGGUGUUCCGGUUGUCACGCCAGUGGCAUUGCCGGGUAGCUAUGUUCGGAAGCGAUAACCGCUGAAAGCAUCUAAGCGGGAAGCGCGCCUCAAGAUGAGAUCUCCCGGGGCACAAGCCCCCUGAAGGAACCAUGUAGACUACGUGGUUGAUAGGUCAGGUGUGUAAGUACAGCAAUGUAUUGAGCUAACUGAUACUAAUGAUCCGAGAGGCUUGACCAU